GAAUUCGUCGACAACAGAGUUUGAUCCUGGCUCAGAACGAACGCUGGCGGCAUGCCUAACACAUGCAAGUCGAACGCUUCCGGGGCUUCGGUCCCGGGGGAGUGGCGCACGGGUGAGUAGCGCGUGGGAACCUGCCCUCUUGUGGGGGAUAACCGAGGGAAACUUCGGCUAAUACCGCAUGCGCCCGGGGAAACCCGGGGAAAGAUUGAUCGCAGGAGGAGGGGCCCGCGUCGGAUUAGCUGGUUGGUGGGGUAACGGCCUACCAAGGCGAUGAUCCGUAGCUGGUCUGAGAGGAUGAUCAGCCACACUGGGACUGAGACACGGCCCAGACUCCUACGGGAGGCAGCAGUGGGGAAUAUUGGACAAUGGGCGCAAGCCUGAUCCAGCAAUGCCGCGUGAGUGAUGAAGGCCUUAGGGUUGUAAAGCUCUUUCGCCCGCGACGAUGAUGACGGUAGCGGGAGAAGAAGCCCCGGCUAACUUCGUGCCAGCAGCCGCGGUAAUACGAAGGGGGCGAGCGUUGUUCGGAAUUACUGGGCGUAAAGGGCGCGUAGGCGGCCCCUUUUGUCGCGUGUGAAAGCCCCGGGCUCAACCUGGGAACGGCGCGCGAAACGGGGGGGCUGGAGUUCGGGAGAGGAGAGUG
Molecule: ribosomal RNA, 640 nt
Filed under: uncultured bacterium
Lineage: Bacteria
Description: bacterial SSU rRNA
Rfam family: Bacterial small subunit ribosomal RNA
Source: RNAcentral